This 175-nucleotide small nuclear RNA is filed under the name Cavia aperea (Brazilian guinea pig). RNAcentral describes it as "U2 spliceosomal RNA (ENSCAPG00000000437.1)". It matches the Rfam family "U2 spliceosomal RNA". Rfam says of the family: U2 is a small nuclear RNA (snRNA) component of the spliceosome (involved in pre-mRNA splicing). Complementary binding between U2 snRNA (in an area lying towards the 5' end but 3' to hairpin I) and the branchpoint sequence (BPS) of the intron results the bulging out of an unpaired adenosine, on the BPS, which initiates a nucleophilic attack at the intronic 5' splice site, thus starting the first of two transesterification reactions that mediate splicing. Lineage: Eukaryota; Metazoa; Chordata; Mammalia; Rodentia; Caviidae. The record is from RNAcentral.
AUUGUUUUCAGUCUUUUGGCUAAGAUCAAGUGUCCUAUCUAUUCUUAUCAGUUCAAUAUCUGAUAUGUACUCUACCAGAGGAUAAUAUAUUACAUGGAUUUUGGAGGAGGAUUUGCUUCAACCACGACACUCAUCCACCUGGUAUUACAAUGGAUCCAGCAAUGGGAAACCUUUC